GGCUCUGUAUAUUUUAAGAGUAGUGGAGAGAAGGGAUUUGGUUUAGUAAUGCUGCC
This is a small nucleolar RNA of Bison bison bison, 56 nucleotides long. NCBI's taxonomy places the organism in Eukaryota, Metazoa, Chordata, Mammalia, Artiodactyla, Bovidae. The record is from Ensembl.